Molecule: signal recognition particle RNA, 274 nt
Filed under: Saimiri boliviensis boliviensis (Bolivian squirrel monkey)
Lineage: Eukaryota; Metazoa; Chordata; Mammalia; Primates; Cebidae
Description: Metazoan signal recognition particle RNA (ENSSBOG00000002320.1)
Rfam family: Metazoan signal recognition particle RNA (bases 81-250)
About the family: The signal recognition particle (SRP) is a universally conserved ribonucleoprotein.
Source: RNAcentral
AACUUAAUUUUUUGAAAGAUUUUUUAAAUUAUUUUUUAAUUUUUAUGUCUGCAUAAUAGGCAUAUCUAUUUAGGGGUAUAUGAGAUAUUUUGAUCAGGUGUGCACACUAAGUUUGGCCUCAAUAUGGUGACCUCCCAGGAACGGGGGACCACCAGGUUGCCUCAGGAGGGGUGAACUGGCCCAGGUCAGAAACGGAGCAGGUCAAAACUCCCAUGCUGAUAAGUAGUGCAGUCGCGCCUGUGAAUAGCCACUGCGCUCCAGCCUGGGCAACAUA